CGCGUGAGGAACCUGCCUUUCAGAGGGGGACAACAGUUGGAAACGACUGCUAAUACCGCAUAAUAUAUGUUUGUCGCAUGGCAGAUAUAUCAAAGAUUUAUCGCUGAGAGAUGGCCUCGCGUCUGAUUAGCUAGUUGGUAGGGUAAUGGCCUACCAAGGCGACGAUCAGUAGCCGGACUGAGAGGUUGGCCGGCCACAUUGGGACUGAGAUACGGCCCAGACUCCUACGGAAGGCAGCAG
RNAcentral lists this ribosomal RNA (240 nucleotides) under uncultured bacterium. RNAcentral describes it as "partial 16S ribosomal RNA". It matches the Rfam family "Bacterial small subunit ribosomal RNA", at positions 114 to 354 of the family's 1533-position model. The record is from RNAcentral.